Molecule: ribosomal RNA, 159 nt
Filed under: Cladorrhinum flexuosum
Lineage: Eukaryota; Fungi; Ascomycota; Sordariomycetes; Sordariales; Podosporaceae
Description: 5.8S ribosomal RNA
Rfam family: 5.8S ribosomal RNA
About the family: 5.8S ribosomal RNA (5.8S rRNA) is a component of the large subunit of the eukaryotic ribosome. It is transcribed by RNA polymerase I as part of the 45S precursor that also contains 18S and 28S rRNA.
Source: RNAcentral
AAACUUUCAACAACGGAUCUCUUGGUUCUGGCAUCGAUGAAGAACGCAGCGAAAUGCGAUAAGUAAUGUGAAUUGCAGAGAUUCAGUGAAUCAUCGAAUCUUUGAACGCACAUUGCGCCCGCCAGUAUUCUGGCGGGCAUGCCUGUUCGAGCGUCAUUU